RNAcentral lists this ribosomal RNA (888 nucleotides) under Cryptosporella alni-tenuifoliae. RNAcentral's name for it is "LSU rRNA". It matches the Rfam family "Eukaryotic large subunit ribosomal RNA", at positions 43 to 962 of the family's 3401-position model. The record is from RNAcentral. Lineage: Eukaryota; Fungi; Ascomycota; Sordariomycetes; Diaporthales; Gnomoniaceae.
CCAAUAAGCGGAGGAAAAGAAACCAACAGGGAUUGCCCUAGUAACGGCGAGUGAAGCGGCAACAGCUCAAAUUUGAAAUCUGGCUUCGGCCCGAGUUGUAAUUUGCAGAGGAUGUUUAUGGUGCGGUACCUUCCGAGUUCCCUGGAACGGGACGCCACAGAGGGUGAGAGCCCCGUCUGGUUGGAUACCAAACCUGUGUUAAACUCCUUCAACGAGUCGAGUAGUUUGGGAAUGCUGCUCUAAAUGGGAGGUAAAUCUCUUCUAAAGCUAAAUACCGGCCAGAGACCGAUAGCGCACAAGUAGAGUGAUCGAAAGAUGAAAAGCACCUUGAAAAGGGGGUUAAACAGUACGUGAAAUUGUUGAAAGGGAAGCGUUUAUGACCAGACUUGUGUCGUGUGGCUCAUCCGAGGUUCUCCCCGGUGCACUCCACACGGCUCAGGCCAACAUCGGUUCUCGUUGGGGGAUAAGAACAGUAGGAACGUGGCCCCUCUCGGGGGGUGUUAUAGCCUAUUGUACGAUACUCUGACGGGGACCGAGGACCGCGCUUCGGCUAGGAUGUUGGCGUAAUGGUCAUUAGCGACCCGUCUUGAAACACGGACCAAGGAGUCGUCCAUUAGAGCGAGCGUUUGGGUGUAAAACCCGCACGCGUAAUGAAAGUGAAAUUAGGUGAGAGCUUCGGCGCAUCAUCGACCGAUCCUGAAGUUUACGGAUGGAUUUGAGUAAGAGUUUUAACGGACGGACCCGAAAGACAGUGAACUAUGCUUGAAUAGGGUGAAGCCAGAGGAAACUCUGGUGGAGGCUCGCAGCGGUUCUGACGUGCAAAUCGAUCGUCAAAUUUGAGCAUGGGGGCGAAAGACUAAUCGAACUGUCUAGUAGCUGGUUACCGCC